Molecule: long non-coding RNA, 8740 nt
Filed under: Nicotiana tabacum (common tobacco)
Lineage: Eukaryota; Viridiplantae; Streptophyta; Magnoliopsida; Solanales; Solanaceae
Description: long non-coding RNA (NTAB_LNC002551)
Source: RNAcentral
UGGAUAAAACAUAUCUCCAACUUAAGAGAUAUGAAUGGAUAAGAAACGUGAAUCACAACUCAUUCCUAAAGGCAUAUGAUGAGGAUUCAACGUAAAGGUUGUAUGUUACAACCGAAAGUCAUAUGAGCAAUGCCCAAGACCUUCAACAAUUUAAAUUAUUGUGAGAUUCUGCAAUAUUAAGGGAAUACAGUGUAAUCUUUCUCAAGAGAAUCGACUCAGGUAUGUUAAGGCUAUCCCUUCUUUCUUUUUGGCAUGAUCCAAAUGAUACAAAAGAAACGAGCAAACGCACAGCUUUUAUAAACGACUCUAUUCAUAGAAAUACUUGGGAUCCCUAUGCUCUUGAUACCCCAUGUGACAUAUUAUUAUAGCUUCUGUUCAUGGGUCUCAGAAUAAUACGCAGUUGAUAAAGUUUAUCCGAAAAGAAUAUUGAGAUAUUAACAUAUUUUCAUGAAUUUCAUGCAUUUAUACAUGUGCAUCAACCCAUGACCAGAUGGUGUUAUAUACACGUAUUUAUAUGUAUAUACACAAGUUGACGGUCUUGCUUCUUAGAAUCCUUGAUCAGCGAGAGUUGACGUGCUCCAUUUGAUCUAGAGUUGCUUUUGAUUUAUGUAUGAUAUGCUUGUAUACAUGUAUGGGUAUGACGUGGCCCAAUCCCAUCCUUGUACAAUUAUAUAUUCUAUUAGAGAUCUGUAGACAGUAUGUAUAGUUGGAUAGUAUGUGGCCUUGCCGGCUUUCAGUUUUUGAUAUAUAGUAGUCUAAAGUAGCAUUGACGGUUCGCCCCACAUGUUUAUAUAUAUAUGUCUUUUGGACAGGUUUUCCUCACAUAAACUAAUCAUGUUUAUACCUAAUACUUAAGGGCAUUCGACAGAUAGGACUCGGACAUCCGUCGCGGCCCAUCGGUUUGGCUCCUGACAUUUAUGGAUAAUAUGCAAUAUCAGUAAGCAGUUAUAUUUUGGUGUCCUUUUUUCUUCGAGUGCACAUGCAAUUUGUCAGAUUGAAAGAACAUUUCAAUAAGGUGUAUAGAUCUCGCAUGUAUCGCCUACACAGGGACAUAUUCACCCUAACACAAGGUAUUUCCCAUGUUUCUGCGUAUUUUCACAUCUGAAAAGUUCUCUGGGAUUAGUAUGAUGCUCUAAUGCCUCUUCCAUAUGAUUGUAAAAGGUCAAAGGAAUUCCUUGUGCAUCUUCGUUAUGAACGGUUGUAUCAAUUUCUCAUGAGCUUAAAUGAAGGUUAAAGUCAGGCUCACAGUCAAAUUCUCUUAAAAACACAUCUAUCUAAUGUGAUCAAGUAUAUGAUAUGAUUCUUCAAGACGAAAGUUAGAAAAUAGAAAAUGGUGGCCGAAGGUCAGUUUCAGAACAAUUGUGUAGAUCUCACUAACCUGUUUAUUGCUAAAGCGGGAUCCAAGUUCAAACCUAAGAGAAAUUAUAAUGCAUAGUGUGAUUAUUGUCAUAUAAGAGGAGGGCGAAUGUUACAAGCUGAUGAAAUGUAACUUUUGUAAGUUGACUGGGCAUCUGAAAAAGAAUUGCUAAAAAAUAAUAAGUUACCUGACAACAUUCAAAUCCAAGAGGAAGGCAAAUGCGGUACAAGAAAAUAAUCAACAGACAAAAGGAAAUUCUUCUGUUGUACCAGUCCUUACCCAGAAAUAGUUCAAUAUGUUUGUCUUUAUGAUGAAUAAAGUCUCCACUUCCGAGCCCAGGCAUAUAUGGUAGGUAAUACUACAUGCAUUAAGGAUGAUAAUCUUAGUUGGAUAGUGGAUAUUAGGACUACUAAUGAUAUGAUAAGUAAUCUCAAUUUCUUGAUUAAUGAUGUUAAAGUAGGAACCACAGUGAGUGUUCAGUUGCCAAUAGGGGAUUCUACGCAUGUGACAGAUGUUGGAGACUGUAUAUUAAUAGGAGGUAAUGUGAUCAAUGAUGUGUUAUGUGUGUCAGCUUCAGAUUCAACCUUUUGUCUGUAUCUAAAAUGACAAAAUCUAUGAAUUGUUAUGCUAUUUUUUUUUCGACUUCUUUAUUUUUCAAGACCUUUGCACUGGGAAAGUGAAGCUGACUGGUAAAGAAAAGGAAGGUCUAUAUGUUUUGGAAUCAAAGAGCAUAAGGGGAGCAGUUAAGCAUCGUAGAUCAAUGGAUGUGGAAAGGAUGAUCGAGCAAAAAAUUGGCAUAAAAAAUUAGCAGAUAUUCCUAUGGCGAUAUUGAGAAAACUUUCUAUUUUUUCUAAUAAGAGUGGUUUUUUCUUUGUAUGACUGUGAUGUUUAUCCUCUAGUAAGACAAACUCAAAUUUCUUUUACACUUAGUACUAGUAAAGUGGAAGAGAUCUUCGAUUUGGUACAUAUGGAUUUAUGGGGGUCCUAUAGACUUGCUUUUUUUUGCUAAAAGAAAGGGGAAACUAUUAUAUUAAAAACAUAGGAAAUUUAGUUAUUACAUAACGUAGGGAUAGACCGUAUUAUGGUUUUCCCUGAUUUAUCUUUAAUAAAAACUGGUAAAAUAAAAGUCAGAGGUACUUUCCAGUACAUAGUGUUGUCUUCCUCCAUUGAUAUAUGUUGUCUCGUGCUUCCAUACUUUACCAAAGCAUCUGCUACAGUGUUGCUUUCCCGGUAUACAUGUAUUAUUUCUGCCACUCCAAUAGCAUCAAGAAGAAAAAUGUUGUCAUGAAGAAGAUGUGAGUAGCGAUAUUGUUCGUCAUUAAAUAAGUUACAUAAUACCUGUGAAUUUAUUUUCACUAUAGUGGGAAAGAGACUUUUUGUGAAGGAGAGUUCUAGUCCAGCCAUAACUGGUAGUAGUUCAGAAUGGAGAGAGGAUGUUGCAACUGCCUUAUGCGCGAAUCCCAUUAUCCAAUUGCCAUUAUGGUCUCUGCUAAUUUCACCAAUGCCACUAGUUUGAUUGUUUUUAUCAUAGAUCAAUGUUUAGCUUCUAAUAGUUAGUAAGUGGGUACCAUCUUAUUGGUAUGUAAAGCUUAAGAUUUGGGUUUGCAGUAAGCUAUGGUAUUGAACUGAACUCAGCAACUUGGGUCUUAAUUUUGGUGUGGAAAGCAAUUGAAGUUGUGUGGUUAAAGAGGUUGGAAUUCCUAUUAAGCCAAGUGUUCCACAUGAUGAAAGGUAUUAAAGUGGCGUUUGGAGUUUCAAUUGAGGCAUUUGCUGUGUUCAUGGUAGUGUCUUUGAGACACGUAUCCUUUAUCCAAUGGACAAAGUUGAGGAACUUGUGGUUUUUGAAGAUUGAACAAAGUCCAUAAGUGAUAUGAAUUUUUGCAUGAGAAUACGAUGCGGAAUAUGUCUUCUACUUCGGUUGGACAGGAUUGGAAAAGGUUAGUUUGUAGUAUAUUUUUUUUUUUGAACAUGAAGUCUUUAGGAGGUAACUUGUGGUGCACAAAUAACCACAUAAAAUAUUUUAAAUUGUUCAAACACUUUAAUUGCUAGAUCCAUGAGGUUGUGACAGUGUUUGGUGGUUUUAUUAGGUUGUUGAUUUCUAGUUGUAGUAGGUAGGCUGACUUUAUGGUAAAGUUGUCAAGGGGUGUUUGGUUCCAGAAGGAUUGACCAUUUUUUUGUGAGAAAUAGAAGUAGAUAUUGUUGAUUUUGUGUACAGUAUCAGGGUGUAGUGUUAGAGAUAAUAUGUCAAAGUACCAUGAAUAAUUUGUAAGGAUUAAAGACAUUGUUUGUUAUUCCUUCAUAUAUUGUAGAGUCCCCUAUCUUGAAUGUCAUAAACAGGUAUUAUUAGGGAUCUAGUUGGCAUGUUAGCGAUUUAUUUUUUUCCUAUUUCCUAUGUUCCUGAAAAGCCAUGAGCGGAAUAGAGGAUUUGCUUUGGUCAUGCUUUUCCAAAUGUAUGAAUCAGCAUGUCUUUCCUCGAGUGUGUCUACUCAUCUAUGUUGGACAUAUUUUGCUUGUCGAAUUUUUACCCAUAGUGAUUAAUUGUUCUUGUGGAAUCGACAUAGUAGUCCUACUAGUAUUGCAAAAUUCUUUUCACUGGUUUUAUAAAUCCCUAGUCCUCCGAGCACUUUUGGAGUGAUUAUAGUCUCCUAGUUAAUAAGGUAGACUUUUUUUGAGCUGGAGUUGAACACCAUAGGAAGUUUCACUGUAUACGGUCUAUGUGGUUCCUAGUAGAGGUUGGCAAUAGGUUAUUUUACAUUGAAUAGUUUGGUAUGGUUUCUAGUACUAAGUGGAUGAGGAUGGUUCUAUCUGCUGCCAUGCUGAGAGUUUUUACUUUCCAUCCUAAAAACUUGCUAUUCAUUCUGUCAAUUAUGAAUUGAUAGUGUUUACCUUUGGCGGAGUUGUUAGUUAGAUGGAAACCCAGGUAUUUACUAAAGUUGGUAGCUUUGUGGAUGUUUAAGGCACUGGUAAGGAACUCUUGAGUGUUGAGUGGUACGUUUUUGGAGAAAAAAAAAUUUGAUUUAGAGAAAUUAAUUUUUUGCCCUGAUUGGUGGUGGAGGGAGUUGAAUACAUCAAUAAUAGUGUUGGCAUUUUAUAACUCAGCACGAGCGAAUAGUAUUAGGUCGUCCGAAAAAACCCGGUAGGAGACCGGUGGCCCCGACCUACUAAUCUCAACUGGUAUCCCGUCACUAUUUAUUGUGGCUUGAUCAAUUUGGUGGGAUAGGGAUUGCAUACAAAUGAUGAAGAUGUUUGGGGAUAGCGGGUCUUCUUGACGAAUGCCUCGAGAUGUUUCAAAGAAUUUAGUAGGUGUUUACCUUGAAAAUGGUAAUUACAAUUAAAUUUGAUUAUGUGGUUCUAAAAAUACGUGAUCUAUUUUUAUGCUAGUUGAUUAGGAAAUAAAUGCUAAGUAAGAGAUUAGGAAACGAGAUAAGAGCUUGUAGAUAUUAUAAUGGCCAAACCAGAAGGCUGAAAAUCGGGGCCUCGAGUUGGCGUAUACGGGCCUCGAGGUCGAGUUGGAUGCUCGGCUAGGAGCAAUCGAGGGGGGAUUAACAGUUAUGAUAGCUUUGAUGGAAGCCUUUUAUGAUCAAUAAGGAGCAAUAAAUGAAGAACAAUAAAUAGAACACAAUGAAUAUAAGCAAUAAAUGCAAGUAAUGAGAUCAAGAGAAUAUGUUAGAGAGCAGAGAGAAUGUUCUUGUGUAUUCAAUGUUGAGCAUCAGGUAUUGGGUCGGUAUAACCUCUAGUAUAGGCUGGUGGUAGUGGCUCUUACGCUUUGGAUCGGUACGACCUUUUAUAUGGGCUUACGGCAGGGGCUCUUAUGCAUUGGGUUGGUAUGACCUGUAAUAUAGGCUUUAUUUUUCCCUCGUUAAGGACUUUUGAAGUUGUGUUUGCCUGACUCUUCGACGGUUUGAUAAAAACCUUGAUUGUGAGUCGUUAUAUGGCGAUAAUCGAGCACCUCAGGAGGUUUGGCUCGCUGGCUGAGUAUCUCGAAGCCUAUAGUUUGGAGUUGACAUGGUCAAAGCUCUUUUUCCUAUGUCGAGGGUAGCCUGUUUAAUCGGUUCUUUUCGAAAUAUUUUCAAAGUAAUUGAAGGCGUGUGAUUUUAUAGCAAUGGUCGGGCGUCCCCGAGUCAUGUUAGUUAUGCUGGUACAGCCUUGUGACCAUAGUCAUUAUGUUUGGAAAGGGCCUUUCCAGUUCCCGAGUAAAGUAGUUUCGGCGUCUAUAUCAAGGGUAUGUCUUUUUAGGGUCUAACAACUUCGAUAUAUAGUCUUAACUUUAAGAUCGGGUUUAUGCCUUUUUUAAGGUCUUACAAAUUUUUACAUGUCUUACUUGAGGCCUUACAGAUAUUGUUACUUGGUACAAGUAUGGUUCAUGCCUUGCUUGACGUCUUACAGAUAUUGUCACUUGGUAUAAGUGUGGUUCAUGCCUUUCUUGAGUUCUUACAAAUAUUGUUGUCGCCUUAUAUAGGUCUUACGAGACCGAGGCAGCCCGCAUGUGUUCUUAUGGCCUCGGGUUUUGAUAAGUCAAUGGAGGUGGUGAUUGGCAGCAGUCCUCUAGCCAUCGAAAGUUUCUUGGAUCGAGAGCCAUUACUUGUAAACUUGGUAUUGCCUCAUUGAUUACGAUUUCGGAGUUUCCGACCCAGAGGUCAUGUGGCCUUGAGUUUCUGUAAGGCCCCGUGAAUUUCCUACUCAAAACCCUGAAUUCCGUGGUGCCAAGAAAUAAUAUUUUCCAGAAAAUGCGAUUAUGCGGUAGAGAAUGCGGUCGCAUAUCAGGUAUGCGGACCACAUAAUCGCCGCAAAGCGAAUCAGUGUGUUGGUCAAAUUUGAGGUUAAAUAUGUUGUCCAUUAUUCGAUCGCAUAACCGAUAUGCGAACCGCAUAGUCGUCGCAUAAUUUCCUUGGGAUUUUUGUAAAGAGCAGUUCAGCGGUGCAUUAUGCGACCGGAGAACGGGUAUGCGGACCGCAUUUCUGCUGCAUACCCAAACAGAAUGUUCAGAUUUUGGGAGCACUUUUGCGGUCCAUUCUACGGGCCGCAUUUCCACUUUGCGAUCGCAGACUUGACUCGGGGCUCCAAUUUUCUAAGUUUUAAACCCGACCCCUUAUCGAUAUAUUCGGUGUUAUAGCUCAUUUUGAGCAUAUUUCCUGAUGCUUUUAGAGAGAGAGAGAGAGGGUCCUAGAGAGGGAAGUGCUUCCCAUCAAAUUACUCCAUGAAACCUUUCCAAAGCUUUGAAGAUAAUCAAGUGAGGGCACCUAAAUCUUCAUCCCAAGAGGUAAGACUUCAUUACCUUAGCUCUUAUUCCUAUGCUUAGCAAUAAGGGAUCACUAGUGAAGUAAUUCAUGGGUAUAAGAAUGAAUUUCUUGUAUGCAUAUCACACCAUAGAAUAUUGGGAGGUAGUGAACUACAAAAAAAAAGCAAUUGGUGUGUAAAAUGAUAGAAAUUUCUCUCAAAAGGCCUUAGAUCACAAUGCACCUUUAGUAUUUGAUAGUAUGCUCAAAACAAGCUAGAAUCUCAACUCGUCUCUAAUUCUCAGUUUAACUUGUAAUUCUUACACAAUAGAUCGAAGUGCUAAAAGUUUCAGAAUUUUGUAAGGAAUAAGGAAAGCUUUAUUGAGGUAUGUAUGGAUAAAACCCCAUCUUUUAGAAAUUGAGCUUCAUCGUUGGUUGUGUGAGUACGGUAAGAUUAAAUUGAAUUGUUGUAUUGAUUGCUACUUCACUUGACUUGGUGUUGCAACCUUAUAUGCGUGGAAACUGUGUCUCAAAUUGAUCAACGUAAUAUUCUUGAUAAUUUGAAAACGUGCAAGGGCUAUGAAUCAUGUAUUGAAAUGCUAAGACCUUAAAUUAAGAUCGGAGCUGCAUAUAUUAUGCCAAACUAUGUGAAACCCUCUAUGUAUAGAGAUGCUUGAAGUAAUCAAAUGAAUUUGGGAAAUAGAGUGUGGCCAAUGUGCCCAGAACUUGAAUUAUAAUUAUACCUGGUGAUGCCUAUUACAUGAGAAAAUAUGAAACCGAUUAUGAAAUGAGUCUCGACUUUGCUUUCCAUAAAUGACUUCAAUAAUAAAGUGCCCUAAAGGCUUUAUACACAAUUUAUGCCAUAAGUGGCUGUUCAAGAUAAUGUCUUGCCUUAUGAGUACAUCCAAUGUGAUCCAAGUUGUUACAUACUUCGAUGUUGAAAUUGUAUAUUGUCAUGAUUGGAAAAGAGUAAUUCAAGAAUACUUGAUGAAAUUGCUUGCUUAUGCCUUUGAUGUGUGUUUUUAUUGUGGUUUGGUGUAUCCCCUCUUUUUUGGAAGAAUCUGUUGUGUUUAAAGUUCCAUUGUUAAUAAACUUGAGGUGUAUGAUUUCUGAAAUAUUAUAUAUGCCCAUGGUUCAUGAUUCCUCUCAUGUGUACUUGACAUCUUGAAUUGAAUGGCUUGUUGUUGAAAUUGAUAUUGAUGUGAAAUAUGUGGAAAUGAUGUGAAAUGUGGGAAAUAAGAGAUUGAGUUAUGAAAUGUGGCCUAGUGCCAAGAAUGAUUUGAUAAGUCGUGGCCCCAAGUGCCUAUGAAAUGAUAUAUGAGAAAUGAAUUGAUUUAUGAGAAAGGAACAAUGCCUUGAUGAGUCGACCUAGCCGAUCAGGUCGAGAUCGGACUCCGCUCAAGAUAGCGAUAGUAUUGGAAAGGUAUUGUGAAUGAAUUCUGGAAAAGAAGGAAAAUGAGAUUGUGAUUGAAUCAUAUGUCUCAAAUGAGGCGACCUAGCCGAAUGGGUCAAGAUCGGACUCCGCUCAAGAUAGCGGUUGUAUUAGAAACAUAUGAUGAAUAGUAUGGAAUGCCCCAAACUAAAAAGUUAUGGAAAAAUGAUGUGGAAGUUGUAUGAUUCUUUUAUUUGAUGAUGUGGUGAUUGUUAAAGCUUUUGAUUGACCUUUACUAUUUCUUUAUUCUUGUUUGAUAGUUCUUUCUAAUGAGAAGGUGUUUAUGAUGUCUUUGUUCUUGUAUGAUAGUUCUUUCUAACUAGAUGGUGUUUAGUUAUACAUACUAGUGCUAUUCGAUGGUACUAAUGUCCUUUUGUCGGGGGCUCUACGUCUUUAAUGGAUGUAGGUGUUUCUAUAGUAGGCAGUGUUGGUCGCAGCUAGUGCCGCAUCAUCCUUUCAGCUGACUUGGUGAGCCCAACCUCGUUUAGGGGUCCUGUUUCAUCUAUUCGUCAUGUCCUUUGUAUUUGAGGCAUAGCCGGAGCCUUGUUACCGGCAUUUUCAUAUUAUAUUACUCUUCAGUUGUGUUUAGAGGCUCCAUAGAUAGGUUGUGGGUAGUGUCGGGUAUUGGAAUUAAAGUAGAAAUAUUGAUGUUGGCAAAGACUUAUAAAACUUGUAAUAUUUUGAUAAUUUUGAUUUAAACUGCUAAUGGAAAUGAAAUGAUAGUUGUUAAUGAAA